GCUUUAACUAUAUGGACCUUUGUUGGCAAGGUGAUGUCUCUGCUUUUUAAGAUGCUGUCUAGGGUUCGGCAAAUGCAUGGACCAAAUACUGACAUCUUCUCUCUGAGGAAGGAUUCUAGGUUAAAUAAACAAAAGGGACAUCUUGGCUUCAAUAUCUCCUCUCUUGGUCAACAAUGAUGAAUCUUCCCAAUAUAGUGCUUGCUGAUUGAAAGCAAAUGAGCCUACACUCUAUAUCCCAGCCCACGUAUGUUUGCAGAAGUGACUAAUAUUUCUCCUAGAGUUGAAGACGAAAACCUUGAAGAACAGCUGGCGAGAGCAAGGGAUGAAGAAGGAAUGUUUUCUCAUACACUGGAUUUGGCGGUUCCUGCACAACUGAGCUUUGGCCACAUCCAACUGCCUCGUCCAUAAAGCGACAAAGGCUACCAGAUUUCAGAAUGAUAGCUGCAGUGGUUCUGUCACUAAGGCACCUAUGACACACACCCCAAAUCCAUGUGGAAAACAAAUAUGGUUUUUAAUUCCCCCCUCAAAUCAUUGUAAUUGGAGUGCCCUGGGAAAAUAAUUCACUGUGAUUGAAAGCUAGACCUGCGCAUGAAAAGGAAAUGUUCCCUCCUCUUUCCACAGCUUUCCUCUCAAACUCUGGACAUUUCUACAGUUAGCUUGGUUUAAUUUCUCUUGCGUGUGGGAUAUAAAGCUGUCAGUCAAGUCCAACAUUCUGAGAGGACUAACUGCCUCUAUGUGGCAGGCAGUUUUGUCAGUUGGUCGGUUGCCGCUAGGAGUGUUAAAUGGUAACUGCUCGGAUGCAGUCUUCUCAUGACUGACUACUAUCUAGCAUAUAGUUUGUCUGUUAUGUAACCUAAGCCUGCCUAAACCUAAACCUGACUAAGCCGCGGCAUGACUAAGCCGCUUCUGGCGAAUCAGAGCAGCGCACGGAAACGCCGUUUACCUUCCCGCCGGAGCGGUACCUAUUUAUCUACCUGCACUUUGACGUGCUUUUGAACUGCUAGGUUGGCAGGAGCAGGGACCGAGCAACAGGAGCUCACCCCGUUGCGGGGAUUUGAACUGACGACCUUCUGAUCAGCAAGCCCUAGGCUCUGUGGUUUAGACCACAGCGCCACCCGUGUCCCUGAUAGUAAAGUAGUUUAUGUUAAUAUGAUUCAGAUUCAUGUGUGUUUUCUUUAAGAGGGACAGAAAGGGAUUAUCAGCCAGGAAGGUAUAAUUAUUGACAGGACUCAAACAAGUUAGCAACCCGCUUGUCGCUGCAUAAACUCAAACGGGAUCAUUUAAACUCUGCUAAAUUAUAUAAACGUUUUCACAGUCCGCAGGGGGAGAGGGUCAGGAUGAACAGCCAUGGGGUGUGUUUUUUUUAGCAGCUGAGACCAUAGAGCCUCUUGGAAGCUGAGUGAGUCCCUGAUCUGCCUAGUGAUGCCUUGGACUAUCCAACUCAGAAGUGUGAGAACCUUCCCCAAAUCAUUCCAUUUCAUCUUGUCAUUUGGGGUGCACACAGAUCUAAUGCAGUGGAGGGAAGUUUCUUGCCAGUGCCCAGGGUGGGCACACUGGGACCAUGGGGUGGGGUGCACUGUGAGGGCGGGGCAAGCUGCCAGAGCAAACCCCGUCCACUGGAGCCAAGUGGGGCCAUGCUGUGGUGCCUGCCCAGCUGUGCAAUGGGAAGUCCUGCCGGCCAACUCACGGUGCCCUGCGAGCCCAGAACCGCUUUGCAAGAUUCACAAAAGUGGCAUGGGGCUGGCAGGGCACAUGCCUGUUGUGUCCCUCUCAUGCAACAGUUCACAAUGCCCUGCCAACCCCACGUGAGAAGCAGGCAACAGCUCACAGUGCUCUAAUUCCCCCCAUUACAUUUUACGCUACUGUUGUGCUCAAUUAUAUAUUGUAUAUUUUUUCUUGCAUUUUUGCUUUUACUUCUAUACUGCCUUGAGAAGCCCUUUUGCUCUGAAAGGCAGUAUAAAAACGUUUUAGAUAACAGCACCAUCCAAUGCUGUUCUCCAAAAUCGGCUGGAUAGGUAGCAAAAGGAUCUCUGUAAAACAAUGCCCCCGCUGCCAACUCCUUCAACAGGCCCAGAUUUAGAUUUUCUACUACAUCAACAGCUGCAGUGAUGUAAUUCUAUCAUUAUUAAUUAUGGAUUGUGGCUGAGGGUAUGACAAAGAGUGAACACUUUCUCAGACUGCAGAUUAUUCAUACACAUUGAGGUCCUUCAAAUAAAUUGGAACAGCAAAGUGAGAGGGACCACCUGCAUUUACAAGGUCCUCCCCUCUUUUGUCCAUUUUCAGAAUUGAAUAAAACAUCUCCUCUGUUUUUCUUAGAUUUUGAGAAUUUUUAUUGUCGUUUAUAGUUGGUUUUAAUCAUUGACUGUCCUGAAUGUUGCAUAAGCUCUAGUUCACAGAAUUUAUAUACUGCUUAAUUGUAAAAAAACAACCCAAAUCCUCAGAGCGGUUUACAAAAAUCAUAAAAUAACGAAUUUAUCAGAAAAAUUCAGUUAAAAUCAGCUAUUUAAAACAUUAAAAAUAAUUAAAAUCAAUGAUAAGCUAAGAACCAGAUUAAAACACACGCCAACAUGCUAAAUGUCUGGAAAGGCAAAAGGUUUUUGCAAGUGCUCAAAAGAAGAGUACAGCAAAGGUGCAGAGAGUUUCGAAGUGUGGGCGCUGCCACACUAAAAUAUUGAUUUCUUAUGGAGGGUGAUGGGGGAGGGCAAUGUUGCAAGGGUGAUUGGAGGGGGCAAUAUUGCGCAUGUUACGUCAGGACUUCACCUCCUCCUGCUGCCACCACUGGUGGGACACUCCUCUGACCCUCCUUUCCCUCCAUGGCAGCAGCAGCAGAAGGAGCUGGCUGCUAAAGCCACCCUGUUCUCGGCUCCUUGCUUCACAUCUGUGCCAAAUAUUGGGGGGGGGGAGGCAGAAGGACUCAGCCCCCAGGAGAUGGCACCCCUGGUUUCUUGCAAAUGCAGAAGAAAUAUUAUGUGGCACCUGUAACAGUACCAGUUCUGCACUAGGAGGACAGAAUACAAAUGUCUGUAUAAAUAUAGAGGAGAAGAAGAGUUUGGAUUUGAUAUCCCGCUUUAUCACUACCCGAAGGAGUCUCAAAGCGGCUAACAUUCUCCUUUCUCUUCCUCCCCCACAACAAACACUCUGUGAGGUGAGUGGGGCUGAGAGACUUCAGAGAAGUGUGACUAGCCCAAGGUCACCCAGCAGCUGCAUGUGGAGGAGCGGAGACACGAACCCGGUUCCCCAGAUUACGAGUCUACUGCUCUUAACCACUACACCACACUGGCUCUCUUCAAGCAUUUUGGAAAUGCGUACAGUAAGCACUCAAAGGGGAUGUGGCAGUAGGAAUGAGUCUGCUUCCUUUGGCCACCUUGUGACCUCCUUGACUUGAAACAUCAGAGUUCUAACGUGUGCUGGGAGCUUCCCAGGUUCUAGAAGGCUCCCUAUUUCACACAGGCACCCUCCAACUUCCAGGGGUUGAGGGGGAUGAAAGAAACAAAGAGGAGGGCCAGAGCUAUCAUACUCCGUUCCGGCACCUCUCAGGUGGGCGCCAUUGCCAUUGUAAGAGAACAAGGGAGGUGUUUGUGGUGAGUUCCAGCACCUCUUUUUCUAGAAAAAUAGCACUACUUGCCCCCACCCCCACGUGUUUACUAUACACUGUUCCAGAAUUCCUGAAGAGGGUUAUAAAUAAAUAUGAACAAGUAAAUUGUCCUUCUGCUUAAGUGGAGAGUAGUUCUCCAAAAGAAGAAAAGAAAUGGUUUGGGAAGGGAAGGAACUGUUCUAUAGAAAGUGUUGGGUUCAUUUGCUUUUACAAAGCAGCCUCGCUUAGAAAAGAGCAUUUCAUCAAAACCCAGCCUGUCUCUGGAGGCCUCGUGACAUUCUUCAGCAAUGCAGAAAGUGAAAAAUCAGAUGCCAGUCAGAAUGUGCGCGUGGAAGCCAGUUUCCAUAAUAAAGUACUUGAUCUUCUCAAAUAAAAAGCAAAAAUCCCGAUAUGUCUCUAUAGGAAUAAACUGGCAAGGAACAACAAAUAAUAUAUUACAAGAAUUGUUUUCUCCUUUAGUCUAGACAAGAGAAGGUGUGAUGACCUUUGCUGCUUCUGCCAACACCAACAGUUUACGUCGCAGCUGGAAGGACGGUCCCAGCUAACGGGGAGUCCAGUGGCUUGUCAGCCCAACAAUCCACUCGGGACAUUAUUUCAAGCUGUCCUUUGGCAUUUGGAGAUGCGAAGGCCUUUUGUGCUAGCCUUUUGUGGGUUCAUUUGUUGUGUCCAAAUGAGGAAGGCUGGCAGAAUGUGAAAAUUUAUAUAAAUGAGGGCAUUGUGUGUUCAAAAGAAGAGAGGUACGUUUGAUCUUAGCUGUUACUGAUUUACCUUUUCCUCGUGAUAACAUUCAUUAGGCAGGAUAAGGUAAUGCCGCUGAGUCCCCUUUAUAUUGUCAACAGUUAAAAUAUAGGCAUCAUAUAAGGUGUAACAUCAGUCAUGUCUCAAGGCAACAACCCCCCCCCCACCUAACCAUGAUUUGAAACUUCUUCUGCACCAGGCGUUUUCUUUGAACAUACAGUCCCUCCUCUCUGUUUCUAGAUAUUUGCGGCUUCGCUCAAAUAUACACAGCAAGAAAUGUUUACUUCGUGCCACAUCAGGGAUUCUGGAGCUUGUUUUGGUAUGCUCAGAGUCUGAGGCUAGGAUCUAGCUUGGAGAGCCACUUGGGACCACAGGUAUGGUCUAAGCCUCCUUUAAAGCCAUCCAAAUUUGUGACUAUCGCUAGCUCUUUUCCCACUACUGUCACUAGGCACUGUGUGAAGAAUUUUGUCCAUCCCGAAUCUUCCGACAUUCAGCUUCACUGGAUGUUCCCAAUAUUAUGUGAGAGGGAGAUUUUUUAAAAUUCAUUUUCUCCACAACAUUCAUAAUUCUACACAUCUCUCUCACUUCCCUCCCCAAUAUCCACCUUUCUUUAAACAAGAAAGUCCCAAAUCUUACAUCCUUUCCUUGUAGGGGAGUCACUUUAUCCCAUUGAAUAUUUUGGUUGCCCUUUUCUGAACAUUUUCUGGCUCUAGGAUCUCCUAUUUUAAGUGAGGUGACCAGAAUUGUACACAGUAUUCCUAGUGCAGUCAUUCCGUAGAUUUGUAUAAAGGAGUUUUAUUUCCAUUUUCUUUCCUAAUGGGUCCCAGCGUAGAAUUUGCCUUUAUUCACAGAUACUACAGUCUGGUCACUCACCACCAGUUCAGAUCCUAUAAGCGUCCAUGUGAAAUUAAGAUAUAUAUAUAUAUAUUGCCCAC
Podarcis lilfordi (Lilford's wall lizard) is the source of this 5268-nucleotide non-coding RNA. The record is from the annotation of a GenBank genome assembly. Lineage: Eukaryota; Metazoa; Chordata; Lepidosauria; Squamata; Lacertidae.